UAAAGCCAUGAUUUUAUCUCUAAG
This 24-nucleotide non-coding RNA is filed under the name Cricetulus griseus (Chinese hamster). The record is from RNAcentral. Lineage: Eukaryota; Metazoa; Chordata; Mammalia; Rodentia; Cricetidae.